GAAAGUUUGAAACGGAUUGUGGAGUUCAGGAGGAUUUGUUCUGUUGGAAUUUUGGUCAUCGUUUAUCAGAGAUACAAAAGAGUUCCGGAGAAAAGAAAAUAAAGAAAGUUAUAUUCGAUGAAAUGGAUGACAACGAAGUUGCGAAGUUGUAGGACCAAUGGCCAUCAAAGGGACAGAUUAAUCGAAUACGGAACUGUGCCAAUCAGUGUUUAUUUCGGGUGUGAAUGUCUGGCUGAAAGUAGGAUGCCCAGAUAUGCCCAGUUUCUUUCAAAGUAGGAAGGAUACGAUCAAACAUUUCAACAGGAUACUGAAAGGUUCAGCGAAGC
Molecule: long non-coding RNA, 326 nt
Organism: Uranotaenia lowii
Lineage: Eukaryota; Metazoa; Arthropoda; Insecta; Diptera; Culicidae
Exons: 3
Source: RefSeq, a predicted model, not a curated record